CACGUGAGAGGAUAAAGAUGUGUAAUUGCACAUUUGAAUUCAAAUCAAAUUUUGAAUUCAAAUGGAAACCAAUUUAUCCCUAUCCACUAAGGACAUGAGAAGAGGAGGGUGUGGCUUAAUUUGUGCAUGAGUGAUUUCAUGAGAAACAUUUUCUCGUAUAAUAAAUGGGGUGCUAAAAGAGGAUAAGGUCAAGGCGCUAAGAUUGG
Molecule: long non-coding RNA, 206 nt
Filed under: Elaeis guineensis (African oil palm)
Lineage: Eukaryota; Viridiplantae; Streptophyta; Magnoliopsida; Arecales; Arecaceae
Description: long non-coding RNA (EGUI_LNC071477)
Source: RNAcentral